Molecule: non-coding RNA, 1478 nt
Organism: Equus caballus (horse)
Lineage: Eukaryota; Metazoa; Chordata; Mammalia; Perissodactyla; Equidae
Source: RefSeq, a predicted model, not a curated record
CAAAAAAAAAAAAAAAAAGCAUCAUUUGCAAACUUUGACACUUUAAUAAUUACUGGUUUUCAAAUAACAUCUGGCAACUGACAGUGCUCUGCGGGAGGGUUGCAGUCUUGUGGGCAGGUCCUGGUGGAGACCCUUCACCUGCCCUGGGAGCUGGGCAGGCAGCAGCUUCAGAGGAGGUCGAGCUCUGCUACUCUCUGCAGCCCUUCCAUGGCUCUUUCCUUCUCGUAUAAACCUGGACUCCAGAGCCCAGGGUCUGGGUGGUGGGGCAGGGCGGAAGGAGGCUCUAAGUGGGGGAGUAGGGAGGGCGGCUGAUGUGCCGUAAUUCCUGGAAUAGGGGGAGAGGUUAUAACCAUAUUUAACUAAGACACAUGGAUUUCUGGGACAAAUUAUUUUCACGCAGGGAAUUAUUCUGGGAGCUUUGUCUAAGUCAGUUUAAUAACCAAAAACCCCCGAAAACCCAAAAACUACCUGGCAUUUUUAUAGUCUUCAAAGCACUUCAAUAUCUAUCAUCUCAGAUCCCCCUCCACCUUCCUCCGUUCCUUCGUUCAUUCAAAACCAGUUUUGUGCCUUUCCAGACAUUUGGGGGCAGCUGUCUGUUUUGCGGAUUAUCCAUUUAAUUCCUCCUCUUGGGUGUCCUUGUCGACCUCUGGCCAUGUUUCUGUUCACCUUUUCGUUGGAAGGAAGAGGUGGAUAAUGAGAUUAAUUGCUGAAACAAGGUUAGAGAUUAUCAUUAGAUUCAGAUUUCCAUGUUUUUCCCAGCCUUCCUUCCCUUCGGGGGACCUGAGAUGAUAAUUGGAGAGUGAAGUAUAUUUUGUGACAUUUAGGAAACAGGAGAAGAGAAGGGAUAUGGAAAAGGGAAGAUCCGAUUAAACCAGUGUAGACAUUGUUAAGAAAUUUAUUUGCAAGUCUUGUUUUUUGUUUUUUUUUGUUUGUUUUUUAAAUAACAUCAUUCCUUAGAUAAAAAUGCAAUCUUACAGGAAUAUACACAGCGUCUCACACAGAGAUGACCCUGAAGCUCUUCUUGAAAGGCUGUCCCUUCUAGAUUCCCUGGUCUUUCUCAAGGACGAGAAGGCGCAGCAGGCGAGGCCUUUGAUAACGGGAUUAGCGGAUGAGUACAAACUGUACAGCGAUAUUUACAACAGUAAGACUGUGACGUCGAGGCGCCUGGAGGCGCAGGGGCCACAUGUGCAGCAAGAACCAGACAUUGAUCCAAAAGGGCUCCCCUCUCCAGCAUAACGAACAUCUCAGCAGCACAGAGGCAGACAUUUGGGGAAAGUGGACAAAGAAUGACACCUAAACUGAAUUUCUGGAAGACCUUGAUGGCACUGAAAAGGACCCGAGAAAGUUCGGAUAAGCUGGGCUUGGAGAAACAGGAAAAAACUCUCCUGUCUCUAGACUGCAAUUAACCUGUGGGUGUCGGGCACAUUUCUCUACUUUUUCAUGAAUCGGUCCAGGAAAAUAAAACUCAUCUUCACUGA